UUAAGUUCAGCGGGUAUCCCUACCUGAUCCGAGGUCAAGCGCAUAAAUAUAGGCUUUAUGGACGCCACAAUACAGCGAAGAGCGCAAGAUGUGCUGCGCUCGAACAACUAAUUGUCGGCUGCCAAUUGAUUUAAGGCGAGUUCACGCGCAAAGCGGAACAAACACCCAACACCAAGCAGAGCUUGAGGGUACAAAUGACG
Molecule: unclassified non-coding RNA, 200 nt
Filed under: Pleosporaceae sp.
Lineage: Eukaryota; Fungi; Ascomycota; Dothideomycetes; Pleosporales; Pleosporaceae
Description: partial internal transcribed spacer 2
Source: RNAcentral